Molecule: ribosomal RNA, 465 nt
Filed under: uncultured bacterium
Lineage: Bacteria
Description: partial 16S ribosomal RNA
Rfam family: Bacterial small subunit ribosomal RNA
Source: RNAcentral
CCUACGGGCGGCAGCAGUGGGGAAUAUUGCGCAAUGGGCGAAAGCCUGACGCAGCGACGCCGCGUGAGGGAUGAAGGUCUUCGGAUCGUAAACCUCUGUCAGCAGGGAAGAACGCUCACUGUGCUAUUCAGUAGUGAAUUGACGUUACCUGCAAAGGAAGCACCGGCUAACUCCGUGCCAGCAGCCGCGGUAAUACGGAGGGUGCGAGCGUUAAUCGGAAUUACUGGGCGUAAAGCGCUCGUAGGCGGUAUGUCAAGUCAAGGGUGAAAGCCCCGCGCUCAACCUGGGAACUGCCUUUGAUACUGGCAGACUGGAGUGUGGGAGAGGAGAGUAGAAUUCCAGGUGUAGCGGUGAAAUCCGUAGAGAUCUGGAGGAACAUCAGUGGCGAAGGCGACUAACUGGAACAAAACUGACGCUGAGGUGCGAAAGCGUGGGUAGCAAACAGGAUUAGAUACCCGUGUAGUC